This 497-nucleotide ribosomal RNA is filed under the name uncultured bacterium. RNAcentral's name for it is "partial 16S ribosomal RNA". It matches the Rfam family "Bacterial small subunit ribosomal RNA", at positions 28 to 507 of the family's 1533-position model. The record is from RNAcentral.
GAUGAACGCUGGCGGCGUGCCUAAUACAUGCAAGUCGAGCGAACGGACGAGAAGCUUGCUUCUCUGAUGUUAGCGGCGGACGGGUGAGUAACACGUGGAUAACCUACCUAUAAGACUGGGAUAACUUCGGGAAACCGGAGCUAAUACCGGAUAAUAUUUUGAACCGCAUGGUUCAGAAGUGAAAGACGGUCUUGCUGUCACUUAUAGAUGGAUCCGCGCUGCAUUAGCUAGUUGGUAAGGUAACGGCUUACCAAGGCAACGAUGCAUAGCCGACCUGAGGGGGUGAUCGGCCACACUGGAACUGAGACACGGUCCAGACUCCUACGGGAGGCAGCAGUAGGGAAUCUUCCGCAAUGGGCGAAAGCCUGACGGAGCAACGCCGCGUGAGUGAUGAAGGUCUUCGGAUCGUAAAACUCUGUUAUUAGGGAAGAACAUAUGUGUAAGUAACUGUGCACAUCUUGACGGUACCUAAUCAGAAAGCCACGGCUAACUACGUG